RNAcentral lists this ribosomal RNA (638 nucleotides) under uncultured bacterium. Its description in RNAcentral is "bacterial SSU rRNA". It matches the Rfam family "Bacterial small subunit ribosomal RNA", at positions 99 to 755 of the family's 1533-position model. The record is from RNAcentral.
CGGACGGGUGAGUAACGCGUGGGUAACCUGCCUUGUACAGGGGGAUAACAGUCAGAAAUGACUGCUAAUACCGCAUAAGCGCACAGGACCGCAUGGUCCAGUGUGAAAAACUCCGGUGGUAUAAGAUGGACCCGCGUUGGAUUAGCUGGUUGGUGGGGUAACGGCCUACCAAGGCGACGAUCCAUAGCCGGCCUGAGAGGGUGAACGGCCACAUUGGGACUGAGACACGGCCCAGACUCCUACGGGAGGCAGCAGUGGGGAAUAUUGCACAAUGGGGGAAACCCUGAUGCAGCGACGCCGCGUGAAGGAAGAAGUAUCUCGGUAUGUAAACUUCUAUCAGCAGGGAAGAGAUUGACGGUACCUGACUAAGAAGCCCCGGCUAACUACGUGCCAGCAGCCGCGGUAAUACGUAGGGGGCAAGCGUUAUCCGGAUUUACUGGGUGUAAAGGGAGCGUAGACGGAUGGACAAGUCUGAUGUGAAAGGCUGGGGCUCAACCCCGGGACUGCAUUGGAAACUGCCCGUCUUGAGUGCCGGAGAGGUAAGCGGAAUUCCUAGUGUAGCGGUGAAAUGCGUAGAUAUUAGGAGGAACACCAGUGGCGAAGGCGGCUUACUGGACGGUAACUGACGUUGAGGCUCG